UAUGCGGCUCUAUACAACAUUGUGCGCCACAAGGGUGAUACUAUCGCCACGGUAAUGGAAUUAUUUCCGCCAAAUGUGAUGUUCAAAAGAGAUUUAAUUGGACCCAGGCUCCAAUCGUGGAACAUCCUGCUCCAGCGGUUGUCCACGUUGCACUUGUCACAUGGGUCUGAUGUAUUUUGAUGGAACCUUCAUGGGAAUGGAAAAUUUUCAGUG
Molecule: ribosomal RNA, 213 nt
Filed under: Triticum aestivum (bread wheat)
Lineage: Eukaryota; Viridiplantae; Streptophyta; Magnoliopsida; Poales; Poaceae
Description: partial small subunit ribosomal RNA
Source: RNAcentral